GUCCUUGUAGCGCAACGGAAAGCGCGUUGGACUUCUAUUCCAAAAGUGGUGGGUUCGAAUCGCACUUGGGAUG
Molecule: transfer RNA, 73 nt
Filed under: Trichonephila clavipes
Lineage: Eukaryota; Metazoa; Arthropoda; Arachnida; Araneae; Nephilidae
Rfam family: tRNA
About the family: Transfer RNA (tRNA) molecules are approximately 80 nucleotides in length. Their secondary structure includes four short double-helical elements and three loops (D, anti-codon, and T loops).
Source: Rfam by way of RNAcentral